Molecule: ribosomal RNA, 393 nt
Filed under: Triticum aestivum (bread wheat)
Lineage: Eukaryota; Viridiplantae; Streptophyta; Magnoliopsida; Poales; Poaceae
Description: partial small subunit ribosomal RNA
Source: RNAcentral
UCGGUAGGUUUAAAGACCAAUUUCCAUAAAUCUACUAUCAUACCCCUCAACUGUGGGCAGGAGGUCACAAACACAUUGGCAAAUAUUUUUGGCUGUGUUAUUGGCAAGCUACCAUUUACCUAUCUUGGCCUACCCAUGGGCACCACCAAACCAACUAUUUUGGACCUCAUGCCUCUGGUCUGCCGUGUGGAGAGACGACUUUUGGCCACCCUCAACAUGAUUACAUAUGGAGGAAAACUCACAUUGUUGAAUUCAGUCAUAACUUCUCUCAUCAUCUUCGCUCUUUGCACACUCAAACUCCCAGCAGGCAUCAUAGAACUUAUUGACAAAAUCCGCAGAAAGUGCCUCUGGACAAAGAAAACUGAUCAAGGUGAUAAGUGCAACUCGUUGGCA